Molecule: long non-coding RNA, 316 nt
Filed under: Ananas comosus (pineapple)
Lineage: Eukaryota; Viridiplantae; Streptophyta; Magnoliopsida; Poales; Bromeliaceae
Description: long non-coding RNA (ACOM_LNC004730)
Source: RNAcentral
UACGUUCUCUGUAAUCAAUUGCCUCGAUAUGGUUAGGUAGUGCGUAGUAAGUACUAAACGGACUUGAUUCUCAAAAUUUAAUUUAUUAUAAUUUUUAAUUCAAAUUUUUAGAUUUGUUGUAAUCAAGUUUUAUAAUCCAAUUUGGUUAACUAAAUACUGAUGAGUUGCUAACUUAGAAGUUACGCAGCAGUGUGGUGAUUUAUGAUGUAUUAGCAAAACGUCAAUUUUGAUCGACUAAUUUAGAUUGUGGAAUUUUAUUGCAAAUAAUUUUGAAAGUUUGAGUCUUAAAUUAUUGCAAAUUAAAAUUUGAGGACGA